This 71-nucleotide transfer RNA is filed under the name Haliaeetus albicilla (white-tailed eagle). It matches the Rfam family "tRNA". Rfam says of the family: Transfer RNA (tRNA) molecules are approximately 80 nucleotides in length. Their secondary structure includes four short double-helical elements and three loops (D, anti-codon, and T loops). The record is from Rfam by way of RNAcentral. Lineage: Eukaryota; Metazoa; Chordata; Aves; Accipitriformes; Accipitridae.
GCCUGGCUAGCUCAGUUGAUGGAACGUGGGACUCUUAAUCCCAAGGUUGUGGGUUCACUCCACGUUGGGUG